CCGUAGGGGCGUAACACCCCCUUCGAGAUAGCACCCUUGAUUUUCGAGUACCUUCUGUUUCUUCGGCGGGUCCGCCCGCCGAUGGACAACCCCAAACCCUUUAUUGCAAUAGCAGUACUCUGAUAAACAAACAAAAAAUCA
RNAcentral lists this unclassified non-coding RNA (141 nucleotides) under uncultured fungus. RNAcentral's name for it is "sequence contains ITS1, 5.8S rRNA gene". The record is from RNAcentral. Lineage: Eukaryota; Fungi.